AUGCGCGAGUAUGCGGCAAAGGAGGUCACCUUCGGCAUUGGCGCGCACGCCGGCAUGCUGCGGUGCGUUAACGAACUCGCGAACGCCGUCAAGGUCACCAUGUGCGGUGCGAAGGGAGGGGCCGCGGCGGCGGCGCCGUGGUGGAGGCUUCCCGUGGAGGUGCUGCUACUGUGGGCGACGCGCGCAGCGAGGAGCGCGUGGUCGGUGCCCGUCGCCAUCGCGCUGCUCGGGAUCGCCGUGCGGGGCCGCCGGAUGCGGAGGCAGAGCAAGGCCGUGGCGCGCUUGCGGCUUGUCCUUGACGAUAAGGUCAGGCCCUUUGCCCCUUUCAGCCCCAUGCCGCGUCCCAAUCGCUUGAUAUUGCCCCGCUGUGCUUGUGCUUGA
Molecule: ribosomal RNA, 381 nt
Filed under: Triticum aestivum (bread wheat)
Lineage: Eukaryota; Viridiplantae; Streptophyta; Magnoliopsida; Poales; Poaceae
Description: partial small subunit ribosomal RNA
Source: RNAcentral